AUCACUCCGGCUAUAGCUCCGGCGUUUGUUCCAUGGACGAACUAUCCAUCAAUAUUCAAUUUUAGGGUCGAGGUAAUUCUUCGUUCUCCGCCCGACGCUUCCUCUUUUUUUUUUUUUUUUUUUCUCAUUCCAUCUCUGAAAAUUACUGAGUUUUAUGUGCGCCGCUUCCGCAAAGGUCGUUGGGUUCGCGAUUUGUUGUCGGAAUGCAAAAUCAUUCCUCUCCUUCCAAAUUGACCAGAGAACGGAAGCCACAAUGUCGGGGAAGGUUGUUCUACCAAGUGGAUACGGUAAAGCUUUUUGUCUGUGCGUGAGUAUGUAAAUAAGCCGAUUCACUUACGAAAAGCAAGAACAAUAUUACUCGUGACUUUUCAUCCAUGGAAGUCGCUUUUUCCAUCUUGCAAGAGCUCGGAUACGAC
RNAcentral lists this long non-coding RNA (416 nucleotides) under Eucalyptus grandis. Its description in RNAcentral is "long non-coding RNA (EGRA_LNC006874)". The record is from RNAcentral. Lineage: Eukaryota; Viridiplantae; Streptophyta; Magnoliopsida; Myrtales; Myrtaceae.